UCCCGAAUGGCUUCGUGUCGAGUAACGCAAUGUCUUGAUACUGAGAAGCUCCAGUAUGCAGUAUGCUAUUAAGAGCAAAUGACCAUCUUAAAUUCUCUUCAAUUUCUUCCUCAUACCAACAGCUUUUGCGAUACCCAUUUAAGGAAUGGGCCUUCUCAAUAAGUUCAUUACCAUUGUUAACCAAAUUAGCAGAGGAAACAUCAGCCAUUGUUGAUGCAGAGAGAAG
RNAcentral lists this unclassified non-coding RNA (226 nucleotides) under Hevea brasiliensis (rubber tree). Lineage: Eukaryota; Viridiplantae; Streptophyta; Magnoliopsida; Malpighiales; Euphorbiaceae. The record is from RNAcentral.